UUUAACGGUAAAAAACACAUGGGAUUGUAAUGCUUUCUGAGCCAGAUAAAAUAGACCUAUACCAUUUCAUUAGUUUUUCAUAUUCCAUUACUUUCUGUUACAUUUGUUUAAAACAACACUAAUCAAUUUUGUCAAACUCCUUGCUGAUAUAUUGAAAGAUUUACUACUUUAACGUUAAAAGAAAAGUGAUGGUGUAUCAGCAAUCCUUCCAUACGCAAAACAGUUUCAUCGCCAUCAUUUCAAGGCGACCAAAACCUCCAGUUACAGCUGUUUUAAUUACGUUAUAAGAUGGACCGUUUACUACGUGAGUAGGAGAAAACCGUUGUCCAAUAGUGCCGAAGAGGGCGGCUACCCAACCAUCAUAAAUUCCACACGAUGACAUGAACUGCUUCAGAGAGAAAACGGUCCGUUACCACACAAGCAUUCAGGAUCUUUGAAGGAAACAACAAUGCAAGGAAUAAAUUUUCAUCGACUUUGGAGAUCAGCCCUAGUACUCUUUUCAUUUGUACUGUUCUGUUCGUGUACAGCGAGCGCAUCACGUGACGACUUUCAGACUGUCCCUACGGAUCGGGAAAUGGGCGGAGAGCUUGCUUACAUUCUAUCCAAUAUUCGUCAAAAGUUACGGAACACUGACUCAGAAUCAUUUCCAGUUUUAUUGCAACCUUCAUCAUUAAAUGCCAAAAGAUCCAUUUUCGGAAACAGAUCUACACAAAAACGCGGAGGGAUAUGGAUUUGGAUGCCGGCGCAGGGAUACGUGUCUGUACCACGUGACGAAGUCAGUGGAGGAGGUAGCAAAGGCGCUUCAUCAAAUCUCCUUAGAUACGGUUAACGGACAGUUUUGUCUUCAUGGAUUUAUGCCAAUCACCAUGACAAGCAUUUGUUUAUUUUUUCAAAAUAAAGCAGAUAUAUAAA
This is a long non-coding RNA of Ostrea edulis (European flat oyster), 912 nucleotides long. RefSeq lists it as uncharacterized. NCBI's taxonomy places the organism in Eukaryota, Metazoa, Mollusca, Bivalvia, Ostreida, Ostreidae. The transcript has 2 exons. The record is from RefSeq and is a predicted model, not a curated record.